UACGUAGGGUGCGAGCGUUGUCCGGAAUUACUGGGCGUAAAGAGCUCGUAGGUGGUUUGUCGCGUUGUUCGUGAAAACCGGGGGCUUAACUCUCGGCGUGCGGGCGAUACGGGCAGACUGGAGUACUGCAGGGGAGACUGGAAUUCCUAGUGUAGCGGUGGAAUGCGCAGAUAUCAGGAGGAACACCGGUGGCGAAGGCGGGUCUCUGGGCAGUAACUGACGCUGAGGAGCGAAAGCGUGGGGAGCGAACAGG
This 253-nucleotide ribosomal RNA is filed under the name uncultured bacterium. RNAcentral's name for it is "partial 16S ribosomal RNA". It matches the Rfam family "Bacterial small subunit ribosomal RNA", at positions 524 to 776 of the family's 1533-position model. The record is from RNAcentral.